RNAcentral lists this ribosomal RNA (334 nucleotides) under uncultured bacterium. RNAcentral describes it as "bacterial SSU rRNA". It matches the Rfam family "Bacterial small subunit ribosomal RNA", at positions 8 to 334 of the family's 1533-position model. The record is from RNAcentral.
AGAGUUCGAUUCUGGCUCAGGAUGAACGCUAGCUACAGGCUUAACACAUGCAAGUCGAGGGGCAGCGGGAUUGAAGCUUGCUUCAAUUGCCGGCGACCGGCGCACGGGUGAGUAACGCGUAUCCAACCUUCCGCAUACUCGGGGAUAGCCUUCUGAAAAGGAGAUUAAUACCCGAUGGUAUCAGGAUAUUGCAUGAUAACCUGAUUAAAGAAUUUCGGUAUGCGAUGGGGAUGCGUUCCAUUAGGUAGUAGGCGGGGUAACGGCCCACCUAGCCAACGAUGGAUAGGGGUUCUGAGAGGAAGGUCCCCCACAUUGGAACUGAGACACGGUCCAA